Molecule: non-coding RNA, 1040 nt
Organism: Aegilops tauschii subsp. strangulata
Lineage: Eukaryota; Viridiplantae; Streptophyta; Magnoliopsida; Poales; Poaceae
Source: RefSeq, a predicted model, not a curated record
CUCCUACUUCUUCCUCGACCGCUGACCGCCAUUGACGCCGUCCGAAACUUGCUGCCGUCCGUCCGUCCUCUCGCCUCCCUGUUCCGUCCGACCCCGCCACGAACAGCAAGGCGUAUGCUACAGGCCCAGCGGGAACGUCUCCCCCCACUGAAAGCGCAUCGCCGGAAAUACUGAAAUAAAUCCAGGAAUAAUGCGAGCACCGGAAUUUGAACCCUGGUGGGUUGGGGAUACCAGGGUCCACCUAACCAUCUCAACCACAGGUUGGUUCGCUCAAUCGCCCUUCUAUUAUUAGGUAGAGAGGUAGAGAUUUCUCGGGUUAAGAUCGGGAAGGCUUCUUUGGCUGGAGAGAGGAAAAAGGUGAAAGGAGAAACAAAGGCUCAUCGUGUAUUUUUUUAAGGCCGUAUGUUUUUUCUUUUGAUGGUACUCAUUAUUCCAGGAGUUGGGCUGGAUCAUUUUAGAAAGGAGUUGGGCUGGAUGGGCGUGUCCAGCAAGUUCUUCUACAAAAAGAAAAUCUAAAAAAAACAGCUUUUCUUUUUUUUUUGCCCGGAAAAAAUAAACACUACAGUGUGUACUCUAUUUUUUUCUGAUCAAAAAAUGUGCACCGUUUCUAUUAGAAAAGGACCAACACAUAGAAAAUUUAAUAAUCGCUUUCAAAAAAGGAAAUUUAAUAACCCAUAACAUAUAUGAGAAUCACUGAUGGAAUUUUUGGAUAAGGGUAUGAUCAGAUACCUGAUGAUUGUAUAAUUGUAGGUACGAGAAGGUCAUAUUUGGGUGCAGGGUGACAAUAUUUAUAUAUGCAUCUAAUGACUUAUAUCGCAAAAAAAAAAUGCAUCUAAUGACUCGAGGCAGUUUGGACAUGUGCCUUAUGGUCUCGUACAAGGGAAGAUGUCCUAUCGGGUAUGUUGAGUAACUUUUCUGUUCUGCUUCCCCGUUAGCUUAAUGAAAAGCCUGAUGAAGCUUUUGGUGUGGUUCUGUACCCUGUCGUAAGAUUUACAUGUACAGUUUAAAAUUGCCCAAAUAAGAUUUCCCGUCCACUUUGA